ACUUUCCGUCGCCACACCGCCGCCGUCGCCGUCGUCAUCACCACUUCCCCUUUUCUUUCUCCUCAAACCUCUCUGACUCUAUUUGCAACUGUUUUCCUCACACAGCUCAUCUCUCUGCAAUUCUCUCUCACAAAGCUCUCUAUCUCACCUUUGUCAUGUGUAGUGGUCAUAACCUUCGGGGUCGACGCUGCCUGCGUUCAUGGCCGUCGUUGUCGCAUGUGUUUCGGUGGUGUGUUUGAGAUACCCGACGACGGUGGUGAUGGUCAGAUCCGAGGAUGAGACGGCUAGAGACGACAAUUGUGAGAUCUAACGGUGAGAACAGACGCUGAUAUGGAGGACGUAGGUGGUGGGCGGUGGUGUUGACUAUGGUC
This 371-nucleotide long non-coding RNA is filed under the name Medicago truncatula (barrel medic). RNAcentral's name for it is "long non-coding RNA (MTRU_LNC008071)". The record is from RNAcentral. Lineage: Eukaryota; Viridiplantae; Streptophyta; Magnoliopsida; Fabales; Fabaceae.